Molecule: long non-coding RNA, 1131 nt
Filed under: Mytilus galloprovincialis (Mediterranean mussel)
Lineage: Eukaryota; Metazoa; Mollusca; Bivalvia; Mytilida; Mytilidae
Source: RNAcentral
GCUGAAGCUAUGUCAUUUAUUUCUAACAACAAAAAAAGAAUUUCAUAUAAUGUUAAAUGUACUGGGCAGACAAAACUCAACCAAAAUGAAAUCUCGGUUGAACAUGAAAAUAACAUUUGAUAUUAUAUUUUUGCACGAAGAACUCCUUCAACCCUACUAUAUUGUUUAAGUCUGUACAAACUCAGGCUAUGUCGACCAUAUGUUACUAGUUGUCCAACUAUCUUUUGUACGUCAGUUUUUCCCGAAGGAAUCAGAUGUUUGGGGUUAAUGUGAUUUGUUAUGAUAUGGGUUAGUUUUAGGGAUUUCUGUUAUCCAUUUAUAUGUAUUAUUAUAUAUUUGUAUUACGCAAAUUAAACUUGUGUUAUUAUACAAUAGAUAAUAAAAUUUUACAAAUAUUUGAUUGAUUUAUGAUAUAUAGUUUCUAAUAUACGAGGGUACCACAAGUCUGGUAGACAUAACUCUUAACAUAGAAAUAUGGAGUCUGAGAAUGUGUUUAUUAAAAUUUGCUUUGGAAAACAUUUUUAAAUUAGGAAACAUAAAACCAAAUAUUUCCAUUUGAUGAGUGUUUAUUUAUUUCAUAUUCUCAGUCACUUCAAUAAAAAAAAACAGAUGCUCCGCAGGGCGCAGCUUUAUACGACCGCAGAGGUUGAACCCUGAACGGUUGGGGCAAGUAUGGACACAACAUUCAAGCUGGAUUCAGCUCUAAAUUUGGAUUGUGAUUAAAUAGUUGACACAGCAUAGGUUUCUGACACAGAAUGAAUGUGGUUUAAUUAACUUAAAAUUUAUUGUUUGCCUGUGAGCAAUUCACUAUGCUGUUGAAUAUUAAACCUCUCAAAAAAAUGUUUGAAGAAAUUUUCUUUUUAUUUAUAAAAGCAGAAAUGAGAAAAAUUACCCCGACCCCCCCACCCCACCCCGAUUUUUUUUCACAUGCCCCUUUCCCUUAUUCCAAAACUGAUCUCAAAUCAAAUUACUAAUGGGGUUUGCAACAAUAACUACUCAUUUAAAUACAUCAUAAAAUAUUAAAAUGUAAAAAAAGUGCUUGUUAUCACUGAAUGGUAAAGAUUGUUUUAAUUUAUCAGUUGUUAGUAAAAGUGAAUAUACAUUGUAUAUUGUAUAAAACAAUGAUUUAAG